UCCGGGGUAGCUCAAUCGGCAGAGCGGCGGACUGUUAAUCCGAUGGUUGGGAGUUCGAGUCUCCCCCCCGGAGCCA
This 76-nucleotide transfer RNA is filed under the name Pseudomonadota bacterium. RNAcentral's name for it is "tRNA-Asn". It matches the Rfam family "tRNA". Rfam says of the family: Transfer RNA (tRNA) molecules are approximately 80 nucleotides in length. Their secondary structure includes four short double-helical elements and three loops (D, anti-codon, and T loops). The record is from RNAcentral. Lineage: Bacteria; Pseudomonadati; Pseudomonadota. RNAcentral also lists the same sequence under 2 other names.